AUGCGAAUAAAUUUCUGGUCUUGUUUUAUUGUUUCCAGAUGAACCUACUUUCUCGUUGUUUCUUGUAUCUGAUUAGUCUAGUUUACUGAUGUUGCUUCAGUUCCAAACACAGCACCAAAAAGCUGUUUAAUGCAACCUCCUGGGGGUAGUUCUCGCUCCUGGCAAGAGUAUUAUAGCAACUGGUAAUAUUUAUGUGUUGAUUUCUGCACUUCCCUUUCUUUCACAAUAAUUUAGGGCGCUUAAGGAUGCGUUUGUGUAUUUCUUAUUUCUUGCUCUGGUCCUGGUGUUGGAUGAAUCUACUAGUAUUCAAGUUUGUAAAGCCUCCAGAGAACAAUGAAAAGCCAACAGAUCAGAAAGGCAAAGUGAAGUUUAAAAUCAUGAGCCUAAAGAUGAAUGGACCGAUGGACUACAUAGCAGAACUGGUUUGAUGAGCAGAAGGAUGAAGUGGCUGUGGAACAGAUACUUCGGGUUGUAUUUCUAGAUGUGGAACGUCCUAGCCCAUUAAGUAACGAUUCUAGACAGUGGUUCCUACAACAUAUACUGCAUUUGCUGAACUGCUUUGAAGCUUCAUCUUUUGCAUGCAUUUUUACAUUGAAAAUGUUGAUUUGUGAGAUUAUCUGCCUGCUGAAUCUUUGAAGGCUCUAGAAAAACUGAAGCGGCAGUUGGCUGAAGCUGAGGCUGAAUUGGAGGCUCGCAAGAAGCCUCUAGAAGACGCCAUUUAUUGGUAAAGGACGUGUCAUUUAUGAAUGGAAAGAAAAAAGAGAAAGAUAUCUAGCACGUCAACAAGUUGAAGGGACAGACUCUGUAUGACUGUAGGUUUGUUGUUCUCCUGCUGCUGGAAAUUUCUAUUCUGGGCUUUAGAUGAGUAUAAUGAACUUUUUGUAUCAAUGAACACUUUGUUACAAGUGUUGGUAGGAGAUAUUUGACUGUCAACGGGACAACUGAGUAAAAACUGUAAUUUUUAGGUGAUGAGUUUGGCCUGUUGCCACAUUUAUGUAGAUAUUAUGAUUUUGCUUCUUUAAGCGUGGAAAAAAAUUAUAUAUUUCGGGUUUCUUUUA
Olea europaea var. sylvestris is the source of this 1058-nucleotide long non-coding RNA. RefSeq lists it as uncharacterized. Lineage: Eukaryota; Viridiplantae; Streptophyta; Magnoliopsida; Lamiales; Oleaceae. The transcript is spliced from 3 exons. The record is from RefSeq and is a predicted model, not a curated record.